This is a non-coding RNA of Phrynosoma platyrhinos (Desert horned lizard), 72 nucleotides long. The record is from the annotation of a GenBank genome assembly. Lineage: Eukaryota; Metazoa; Chordata; Lepidosauria; Squamata; Phrynosomatidae.
UUCAGUGUAGUGUAGUGGUUCGUGCAUUGGACUAUGACUCUGGAGACCAGGGUUCGAAUCCCAGCUCGGCCA